ACUACGGGGGGCAGCAGUGGGGAAUAUUGCACAAUGGGGGAAACCCUGAUGCAGCGACGCCGCGUGAGUGAAGAAGUAUCUCGGUACGUAAAGCUCUAUCAGCAGGGAAGAAAAUGACGGUACCUGACUAAGAAGCCCCGGCUAACUACGUGCCAGCAGCCGCGGUAAUACGUAGGGGGCAAGCGGUAUCCGGAUUUACUGGGUGUAAAGGGAGCGUAGACGGCAGCACAAGUCUGGAGUGAAAUCCCGGGGCUUAACCCCGGAACUGCUUUGGAAACUGUGCGGCUGGAGUGCAGGAGGGGUAAGCGGAAUUCCUAGUGUAGCGGUGAAAUGCGUAGAUAUUAGGAGGAACACCGGUGGCGAAGGCAGCAUACCGGCGGCGAUCUGACGCUGAGGCACGAAAGCGUGGGUAUCGAACAGGAUUAGAUACCCUAGUAGUC
Molecule: ribosomal RNA, 440 nt
Filed under: uncultured bacterium
Lineage: Bacteria
Description: partial 16S ribosomal RNA
Rfam family: Bacterial small subunit ribosomal RNA
Source: RNAcentral